This 21-nucleotide non-coding RNA is filed under the name Caenorhabditis elegans. Lineage: Eukaryota; Metazoa; Nematoda; Chromadorea; Rhabditida; Rhabditidae. The record is from RNAcentral.
UGUUCCGUCUACUAUAUGCAA